GACGAACGCUGGCGGCGUGCCUAAUACAUGCAAGUCGAGCGGACCGAAGGGAGCUUGCUCCUUUAGGUUAGCGGCGGACGGGUGAGUAACACGUGGGCAACCUGCCCUGCAGGCUGGGAUAACUUCGGGAAACCGGAGCUAAUACCGGAUAACACCGAAAACCGCAUGGUUUUCGGUUGAAAGGCGGCAUUAGCUGUCACUGCAGGAUGGGCCCGCGGCGCAUUAGCUAGUUGGUGGGGUAAUGGCCUACCAAGGCGACGAUGCGUAGCCGACCUGAGAGGGUGAUCGGCCACACUGGGACUGAGACACGGCCCAG
RNAcentral lists this ribosomal RNA (316 nucleotides) under uncultured bacterium. RNAcentral's name for it is "bacterial SSU rRNA". It matches the Rfam family "Bacterial small subunit ribosomal RNA", at positions 28 to 334 of the family's 1533-position model. The record is from RNAcentral.